This 77-nucleotide transfer RNA is filed under the name Camelus bactrianus (Bactrian camel). It matches the Rfam family "tRNA". From Rfam's summary of the family: Transfer RNA (tRNA) molecules are approximately 80 nucleotides in length. Lineage: Eukaryota; Metazoa; Chordata; Mammalia; Artiodactyla; Camelidae. The record is from Rfam by way of RNAcentral. RNAcentral also lists the same sequence under 2 other names.
GAAGGUAGAGCUCAGUGGUAGAGCACAUGUUUAGUUUAGCAUGCUUAAGGUCCUGGGUUCAAUCUCCAGUACCUCCA